UGUUUGGCUGGGCAUUGUGGGUCACGCCUGUAAUCUCAGCACUUUGGGAGGCCGAGGUAGGCGGAUCACUUGAGGUUAGGAGUUUGAGACCAGCCUGGCCAACAUGGUGAAACACUGUCUCUACUAAAAUUAGAGAAACUAGACUGGCAUGGUGGUGCGUGCCUGUAAUCUCAGCCUCUCAAGUAGCUGGGAUUACAGGUGCAUGGCACCAUGCCCGGCUAGUUUUUGUAUUUUUAAUAGAGACGGGGUUUCGUCUUGUUGGCCAGGCUAGUUUCAAACUCCCGACCUCAAGUGAUCUGCCCACCUCAGCCUCCCAAAGUGCUGGGAUUAUAGGCAUGAGCCACCAUGCCCAGCCUGUUCCCAUCUUCCUCCCCCUGCCAACACACGACCACUGAUGUGGGUUCUGUCACUGUAGGUUAGUUUUCAUUUUCCAGAAUUUUAUGCAGAUGGAAUCAUACAGUGAGUACUCUUUUCGGGGGGUGGUUGGCUUCUUUCACUCGGCACAGUUAUUUUGAGAUUCAUCCAUUUUGUUACAUCUAUUAGUUACUCAUUCCUUUUUAUUGCUGAGUAGUAUUCCAUUGUAGAGAUACAGUACACUUUGUUUAUCCACUCACCUGUCUGUGGACAUUUUGGUUUCUAGUUUUGGGCUGUUAAGCUGGGAUGAACGUAUGUGUAUGUGUGCAGCUUUGGGAUGAGGUGUCUCACAUGAGCCACAUACUUGGGGUGGAUGUACUAGUCUUUGUGUGGACAUAUGCUGUCUUUCCUUUUGGAAAACACUUCAAAGUAGCAUGGCUGGGUCAUACUUUUUAACGUUUUAAGAAACUACCAAACUGUCUUCCAAAGUAAAUGUGCCAUUUUCUAUUCCAACCAGCAACGUAUGAGAGUUCCAGUUGCU
RNAcentral lists this long non-coding RNA (895 nucleotides) under Homo sapiens (human). Its description in RNAcentral is "HSALNT0304917". The record is from RNAcentral. Lineage: Eukaryota; Metazoa; Chordata; Mammalia; Primates; Hominidae.